CCUCCCCAGGCGGAGUGCUUAAUGCGUUAGUGUCAGCACUAAGGGGCGGAAACCCCCUAACACUUAGCACUCAUCGUUUACGGCGUGGACUACCAGGGUAUCUAAUCCUGUUCGCUCCCCACGCUUUCGCUCCUCAGCGUCAGUUACAGACCAGAGAGUCGCCUUCGCCACUGGUGUUCCUCCACAUCUCUACGCAUUUCACCGCUACACGUGGAAUUCCACUCUCCUCUUCUGCACUCAAGUUCCCCAGUUUCCAAUGACCCUCCCCGGUUGAGCCGGGGGCUUUCACAUCAGACUUAAGAAACCGCCUGCGAGCCCUUUACGCCCAAUAAUUCCGGACAACGCUUGCCACCUACGUAUUACCGCGGCUGCUGGCACGUAGUUAGCCGUGGCUUUCUGGUUAGGUACCGUCAAGGUACCCCCUAUUYGAACGGUACUUGUUCUUCCCUAACAACAGAGCUUUACGAUCCGAAAACCUUCAUCACUCACGCGGCGUUGCUCCGUCAGACUUUCGUCCAUUGCGGAAGAUUCCCUACUGCUGCCUCCCGUAGAGUCUGGGCCGUGUCUCAGUCCCAGUGUGGCCGAUCACCCUCUCAGGUCGGCUACGCAUCGUUGCCUUGGUGAGCCGUUACCUCACCAACUAGCUAAUGCGCCGCGGGUCCAUCUGUAAGUGGUAGCCAAAGCCACCUUUUAUGUUUGAACCAUGCGGUYAAACAACCAUCCGGUAUUAGCCCCGGUUUCCCGGAGUUAUCCCAGUCUUACAGGCAGGUUACCCACGUGUUACUCACCCGUCCGCCGCUAACAUCAGGGAGCAAGCUCC
Molecule: ribosomal RNA, 820 nt
Filed under: Bacillus subtilis
Lineage: Bacteria; Bacillati; Bacillota; Bacilli; Caryophanales; Bacillaceae
Description: partial 16S ribosomal RNA
Source: RNAcentral